This 497-nucleotide ribosomal RNA is filed under the name uncultured bacterium. RNAcentral's name for it is "partial 16S ribosomal RNA". It matches the Rfam family "Bacterial small subunit ribosomal RNA", at positions 28 to 507 of the family's 1533-position model. The record is from RNAcentral.
GAUGAACGCUGGCGGCGUGCCUAAUACAUGCAAGUCGAGCGAACAGACGAGGAGCUUGCUCCUCUGACGUUAGCGGCGGACGGGUGAGUAACACGUGGAUAACCUACCUAUAAGACUGGGAUAACUUCGGGAAACCGGAGCUAAUACCGGAUAAUAUAUUGAACCGCAUGGUUCAAUAGUGAAAGACGGUUUUGCUGUCACUUAUAGAUGGAUCCGCGCCGCAUUAGCUAGUUGGUAAGGUAACGACUUACCAAGGCAACGAUGCGUAGCCGACCUGAGAGGGUGAUCGGCCACACUGGAACUGAGACACGGUCCAGACUCCUACGGGAGGCAGCAGUAGGGAAUCUUCCGCAAUGGGCGAAAGCCUGACGGAGCAACGCCGCGUGAGUGAUGAAGGUCUUCGGAUCGUAAAAUUCUGUUAUUAGGGAAGAACAAAUGUGUAAGUAACUAUGCACGUCUUGACGGUACCUAAUCAGAAAGCCACGGCUAACUACGUG